This 231-nucleotide ribosomal RNA is filed under the name uncultured bacterium. RNAcentral describes it as "partial 16S ribosomal RNA". It matches the Rfam family "Bacterial small subunit ribosomal RNA", at positions 118 to 350 of the family's 1533-position model. The record is from RNAcentral.
UGGGCAACCUACCCUUGACUCUGGGAUAACUCCGGGGAAACCGGAGCUAAUACCGGAUAUGAACACGAAGGACAUCCUUUGUGUUGGAAAGUUUUUCGGUCAGGGAUGGGCCCGCGGCCUAUCAGCUUGUUGGUGGGGUAAUGGCCCACCAAGGCGACGACGGGUAGCCGGCCUGAGAGGGCGACCGGCCACACUGGGACUGAGACACGGCCCAGACUCCUACGGGAGGCA